Molecule: long non-coding RNA, 1866 nt
Organism: Ipomoea nil (Japanese morning glory)
Lineage: Eukaryota; Viridiplantae; Streptophyta; Magnoliopsida; Solanales; Convolvulaceae
Exons: 4
Source: RefSeq, a predicted model, not a curated record
CCUAGAUGGCUUUGGCUUCAAAACUGGCAUAGACAAGAAAAGCAGGACAGACUGGAAAAUAGAAGUGCUCACUUCACUUGCUUCUCUUAGUGCUCUAAUCACUGCUGAGAUAUCAUGAUGCACAUCUAAGGGUGUUGAUCCUUCAAUCUCAACGUUGAUUUUCUUUAGAGCUGCAACUGACUUUUUUGCAUCCUUGUUCAUCUUCUUUAUGAAUGAAGUGUAUCUGGUGAUGGUGGCUUCAGUACUUGAAUCUCCCUUUCUCCUCCUCAGGGAGGAUUGCAGAUCUCUCAAUUGUUCCUUCAACUGAGAGACACUAUCCCUUGCUAGACCACAAAUAUCCAGAAGCCUCACCGAUUUCUCCAAUAAGCCAUCAACCCACUUCUUGUUUUGAUUUUGAGAGAGGGCUUGAAGGGUUUGUGGCAAGUUUAGAAGACCAUCCAUGCACUUGUAAAGCUGUUCUAAUCCAAGAAGACCACUGCUGAUUGUAGCUGCUUCUGGAGUGGCUGAGACUUGUAAUGUUUUGAGCUUUGUCAGCUCUUCUUCUACUUUCUGGAUGCUUGGAUGUGAUCUGCUGGGAAAGCUAAUAGAUCGGAGGUGAUUGGUUUUUGCCAUUGUUGUAUUUUCUAUCUUUGUAACAGGAAAGUAAACUCAAGCUUGUGCUGGCUAGAAUAAGCUCUAGUCUUGGUUAUAUAUUGGCAGAUAGGAAGGCUUGGAUCAAUUGAUGCUGAUCUCCCUUCGACUGCAUUAACAAAAAGGGAGGAUUGCAGAUCUCUCAAUUGUUCCUUCAACUGAGAGACACUAUCUCUUGCUAGACUACAAAUGUCCAGAAGCCUCACCGAUUUCUCCAACAAGCCAUCAACCCACUUCUUGUUUUGAUUUUGGGAGAGGGCUUGGAGGGUUUGUGGCAAGUUAAGAAGAUCAUCCAUGCACUUGUAAAGCUGUUCUAAUCCAAGAAGGCCACUGCUAAUUGUAGCUGCUUCUGGAGUAGCUGAUAUUUGUAAUGUUUUGAGCUUGGUCAGCUCUUCUUCCACUUUUUGAAUGCUUGGAUGUGAUCUGCUGGGAAAGCUAAUAGAUCGGAUGUGGUUGGAUUUAGCCAUUGUUGUAUUUUCUCUCUUUGUAACAGGAAAGUAAACUCAAGCUUGUGUUGGCUAGAAUAAGCCCUAGGCUUGGUUAUAUAUUGGCAGAUAGGAAGGCUUGGAUCAAUUGUUGCUGAUCUCCCUUUGACUGCAUUAACAAAAAGGUUUGCUUCCUCCUGCCUCCCAACCAUUGUGCUAUUACUGUCUUCUACAUCUUUUUAAAAUUAUUUCAAGAUGCAUACACUGCGGAUCAGAUUCCAUUUUUUCUCAUUAGUUGAGAAACAUAUGGCUUAUUCCUUCUGUUUCAGCUGCAAGUACCUUAUGCGUCAGCAAGAAAACAGAGAACGUAUUAAAACCCUUCAAGAUGAAGAUGGAAUAUAAAACCUCUUAAUCAUUAAUCGAUACAAGUAGGUUGUGAUUAAUUAAUGGUAGUACAUGCAUGGAUUGUUGGCUGUUUUCCCUACUAAAUUAUGCACUAUUGGCUAUAGGAGACAUGGCUGACAUUAGCCUGGUUGUAAGAAUCUGAUCACCCUGUGGUUUCAGCAUGCAAAUUUCUUUAAUUUUUGCAAAUGGGUUCUGCAUUUUAGUUUUACCAACAAGAUUCAUAUUACAUUUUCCUAUUUCUUUAAUCCUCAGAGUAACAGAAUGAUUAGUAGGAGUUUGCUGUAUUGCUAUCAUUAUAUCAACAUUGAGUUGGCAAAGAUCUGUUUCCUCCUGCCUGCCAGGCAUCAGAAUUCAGAAGGUUGAUGACUAAAAGCAACUUUGACCCAUCCUUAACAUAACCAAGACA